RNAcentral lists this ribosomal RNA (488 nucleotides) under uncultured bacterium. RNAcentral describes it as "partial 16S ribosomal RNA". It matches the Rfam family "Bacterial small subunit ribosomal RNA", at positions 28 to 507 of the family's 1533-position model. The record is from RNAcentral.
GACGAACGCUGGCGGCGUGCUUAACACAUGCAAGUCGAACGAAAAUACCAAGCUUGCUUGGUUGAUUAGUGGCGAACGGGUGAGUAACACGUGAGUAACCUGCCCCUUACUUUCCUGGAUAACUGCUCGAAAGGGUAGCUAAUACGGGAUAUUCUGACCAGCCUGCAUGGGUUGGUUUGGAAAGGUUGUUUUUCUGGUAAGGGAUGGGCUCGCGGCCUAUCAGCUUGUUGGUGGGGUGAUGGCCUACCAAGGCUCUGACGGGUAGCCGGCCUGAGGGGGUGGACGGUCACACUGGGACUGAGAUACGGCCCAGGCUCCUACGGGAGGCAGCAGUGGGGAAUAUUGCACAAUGGGCGCCAGCCUGAUGCAGCGACGCCGCGUGAGGGAUGAAGGCCUUCGGGUUGUAAACCUCUUUCGUCAGGGAACAAGGCACUGCUUUUUUGGUGGUGUUGAGGGUACCUGGAUAAGAAGCGCCGGCUAACUACGUG